ACUCCUACGGGAGGCAGCAGUGGGGAAUAUUGGACAAUGGGCGAAAGCCUGAUCCAGCCAUGCCGCGUGUGUGAAGAAGGCCUUAUGGUUGUAAAGCACUUUAAGCGAGGAGGAGGCUACUGAGACUAAUACUCUUGGAUAGUGGACGUUACUCGCAGAAUAAGCACCGGCUAACUCUGUGCCAGCAGCCGCGGUAAU
This 198-nucleotide ribosomal RNA is filed under the name uncultured bacterium. RNAcentral describes it as "partial 16S ribosomal RNA". It matches the Rfam family "Bacterial small subunit ribosomal RNA", at positions 335 to 524 of the family's 1533-position model. The record is from RNAcentral.